RNAcentral lists this long non-coding RNA (244 nucleotides) under Gossypium raimondii (Peruvian cotton). RNAcentral describes it as "long non-coding RNA (GRAI_LNC002710)". The record is from RNAcentral. Lineage: Eukaryota; Viridiplantae; Streptophyta; Magnoliopsida; Malvales; Malvaceae.
GAAUAGGAGCACCAAAGUGCAAGUAACAGGAAUACCAUAGUACAAAAUAAGAGUCCUCUAUUGGCAUGUUAAUUGUAUACUAACCAUUUAACUAAGUUGGGUCUUGUUUUAGUAUUUCUAGAAUGUCUAUAUUAACAUCUUGAAUCAAGUUUACAAGUUUAGAACAACAUCUAAGGUAAUAAUCACUAGAAUACGAAAUAAUAAUUUCAUUCAAAAUAUUAAACCACCAAUUCAAGAUUCAAAC